UUGCUCAAUGAUUUUUUAAAUUGCUGUGGUAUUUUGACUAUACAAAGGUAUUGUAAUAAGAUUUUAAUUGAAUGCUAAGAGAAUGGAAUUACAAGGAAUAACUAUUUAAAACUUAAUAAUUAAAGUUAUUUUAAUUUGUGAAGAAACAAUUAUUAAAAUUAAAGACAAGAAGACCCUAAGAAUUUUAAAAACAAAUAAUUUUUYAAAAUAAAAAUUAUUUGUUUUUUAGUUGGGGCAACUAGAAAAUAUUAUAAACUUUUUUAAAAUAAAAUGACCCAUUAUUAAUGAUAACUUGAAUAAAAUACUCUAGGGAUAACAGCGUAAUAAUUUUUGAUAGAACAUAUAGACAAAAUAGUUUGCGACCUCGAUGUUGGAUUAGGAUACUUUUUUAAUGAAGAUGUUAAAAAAAGAAGUUUGUUCAACUUUUAAAUUCCUACUUGAUCUGAGUUCAGACCGG
RNAcentral lists this ribosomal RNA (457 nucleotides) under Dermacentor occidentalis. RNAcentral describes it as "partial 16S ribosomal RNA". The stretch from base 312 to 457 matches the Rfam family "Bacterial large subunit ribosomal RNA", at positions 2473 to 2619 of the family's 2925-position model. The record is from RNAcentral. Lineage: Eukaryota; Metazoa; Arthropoda; Arachnida; Ixodida; Ixodidae.